Molecule: ribosomal RNA, 253 nt
Filed under: uncultured bacterium
Lineage: Bacteria
Description: partial 16S ribosomal RNA
Rfam family: Bacterial small subunit ribosomal RNA
Source: RNAcentral
UACGUAGGGGGCAAGCGUUGUCCGGAAUCAUUGGGCGUAAAGAGCGUGUAGGCGGCUCGGUAAGUCCGCUGUGAAAGUCCAGGGCUCAACCCUGGAAUGCCGGUGGAAACUGUCGAGCUAGAGUCCGGAAGAGGCGAGUGGAAUUCCUGGUGUAGCAGUGAAAUGCGUAGAUAUCAGGAGGAACACCGAUGGCGAAGGCAGGUCUCUGGGCUGACACUGACGCUCAUGCACGAAAGCGUGGGGAGCAAACAGG